UGGGGAAUUGUUCGCAAUGGGCGCAAGCCUGACGACGCAACGCCGCGUGGAGGACGAAGACCUUCGGGUCGUAAACUCCUUUCGAUCGAGACGAAUGGCCUCGGGAUGAAUAACCCCGAGGAGUGACGGUACCGAGAGAAGAAGCCCCGGCUAACUCCGUGCCAGCAGCCGCGGUAAUACGGGGGGGGCAAGCGUUGUUCGGAAUUACUGGGCGUAAAGGGCUCGUAGGCGGCCAACUAAGUCAGACGUGAAAUCCCUCGGCUUAACCGGGGAACUGCGUCUGAUACUGGAUGGCUUGAGAUUGGGAGAGGGAUGCGGAAUUCCAGGUGUAGCGGUGAAAUGCGUAGAUAUCUGGAGGAACACCGGUGGCGAAGGCGGCAUCCUGGACCAACACUGACGCUGAGGAGCGAAAGCCAGGGGAGCAAACGGG
RNAcentral lists this ribosomal RNA (430 nucleotides) under Bacillota bacterium. RNAcentral describes it as "Firmicutes bacterium partial 16S ribosomal RNA". It matches the Rfam family "Bacterial small subunit ribosomal RNA", at positions 355 to 776 of the family's 1533-position model. The record is from RNAcentral. Lineage: Bacteria; Bacillati; Bacillota.